UACGGCCCUUUGUUAUUACGCAUAGAUGAAGCGUAGCGUUUCAAUUAGGGUUGACUCCGUGUUCUUCUGCUUCGGGCCUCCAGAACCGAUGUUGCUUAGGUCUUCUCGAUCGCUUUUCAUCUUCUACUCAGAUGCCGAAACGAUACCUGUAUCUUAAACCCCUCCAUUAAUCUCUCACACACGAUCUUUAUUCAAUGCGAUUUCUGCUUCCAUAAGGCUGUGAAGGUUCAUCUAUAAAAAGACGGGCUGCUAUUCCUCCUCUGUUGGAGCCGGCUGCCGUUUCUGAGAAGCCAGAAAUUUUCGCCGUGGUGGAGAGCUUAUGGGAGCGGAUAUGUUCUUUCUGGAUUCUCAGAGUUAUUUAACGGAACCGGAAAGAUUAGGGCGUCGUCACAGAGAAUAUAGUUGUCGCCCCAGAGGAGGUUUGGUUACGCCGGAGCUUUGGUGUCAGUGGCGAUCGGAAAAUCUGCAAUCGCUGUGGAUUUGAUAAGUUGCCAUUCAUGGAAGCUUAAGUUAGUAGAGAGCACGUUGAAGUCAGUACUACUUGAUGCUCAUCGUUGUUUGAGUAAGGUAGUAUUUGCCAUGUAUACAUGCUUCUUGCUAAGCAUCUAAUUAUCUAUGCACUAUAAGAUUAAUUGACAAGCCAAGACAAGUAUCUAUGUUAGAUGAGUCAUUAAUAUGACUGUAAACUGGCACGUGGUGUUUUCAUACAUUAUAUAGUUCCAUGAAAUGUUAAAAAAAAUAAGGCAUGGCUAGCAAUCGCUUUUGGUAUGACAACGAAUGGUUACAAAGAAUCUACCUUUAAAGUGUUCCAAACAUAAAUGAAAAGCUUGCCCCUCCUAAGCUUAUUUUCUUGCUUUA
This is a long non-coding RNA of Brassica napus (rape), 858 nucleotides long. RefSeq lists it as uncharacterized. Lineage: Eukaryota; Viridiplantae; Streptophyta; Magnoliopsida; Brassicales; Brassicaceae. The transcript is spliced from 3 exons. The record is from RefSeq and is a predicted model, not a curated record.